Scylla paramamosain (green mud crab) is the source of this 737-nucleotide long non-coding RNA. RefSeq lists it as uncharacterized. Lineage: Eukaryota; Metazoa; Arthropoda; Malacostraca; Decapoda; Portunidae. The transcript is spliced from 2 exons. The record is from RefSeq and is a predicted model, not a curated record.
UGAAGGAGGAAGGUUUCACGUCUCCUCUCCCUCCUCCUCCUCCUCUUCCUCCUCCUCUUCCUCCUCUUCUUCCUCCCCCUGCAGGUGUUAAUGAAGGCGAGACUCACCUGAGGGAGCCAUUCACACCUGGAUCAUGGAGUUUACACCCAUAGCGGUGCGGUAUGCUGAGCUGUGGUGCGAGUGUGCAGGAAACAGCAGCUCCGUGCCGCACCGCCUCCUCAUGCACGAGCAGAUGCAGCGGUUGCACGCCCAAGCCCGGCAGCACGCCCUGUGGUACGUGGUGGUGGUGCUGGUGGUGUACGUGGCGGGGCUCGUGGUCAUCAUCAGGCGGUCAGGUCGAGUGGAGAGGAACAACGCAAUGGCUGUGGUCUCCUCCUGCUGCGUGAAGCUGGGCGCGUGUGUCACCCAGUGCUGCGGCAGACUGUUCGGGAGACCUGGCCAGGGGAAAGACAAGGGAACUCUGCAGGAAACGUGUGCUGAUUCUGUGACUUCCAUUACUGCUACUGCUGUUACUACUAGUGCUACUACUUCAUCAACAACAACAACUGCUACUACUACUGAUGCUGUUACUACUGCUAAUGUUACCAUGUCAGCUGUUACUACUACUACUACUACUGCUACCACAACUACGUCUUCAGCUUGUUCUCCUACUAACACUACUGCUACCACUAUUACCGCUGUCUCUGCUGGUUCUAUUAUUCCGCCUGCUGCCUCUACUUCUAUGGUUUCUAAUUCUU